This 248-nucleotide ribosomal RNA is filed under the name uncultured euryarchaeote. RNAcentral describes it as "partial 16S ribosomal RNA". It matches the Rfam family "Archaeal small subunit ribosomal RNA", at positions 478 to 725 of the family's 1478-position model. Lineage: Archaea; Methanobacteriati; Methanobacteriota. The record is from RNAcentral.
AGCGCCACAAGUGGCAAUCCUGUUUAUUGGGCCUAAAGCGUUCGUAGCCGGUUUUGUAAAUUCUCUGUGAAAUUGUAUUGCUUAACUUUACAACGUGCAGGGAAGACUGCAAAACUAGAGACCGGGAGGAGCUUGGAGUAUUCUUGGGGGAGCGGUAAAAUGUUAUAAUCCCUUGAAGACUACCUGUGGCGAAGGCGCCAAGCUAGAACGGUUCUGACGGUGAGGGACGAAAGCCAGGGGAGCGAUCC